RNAcentral lists this ribosomal RNA (254 nucleotides) under uncultured bacterium. RNAcentral's name for it is "partial 16S ribosomal RNA". It matches the Rfam family "Bacterial small subunit ribosomal RNA", at positions 524 to 776 of the family's 1533-position model. The record is from RNAcentral.
UACGUAGGGGGCAAGCGUUGUCCGGAUUCAUUGGGCGUAAAGAGCUCGUAGGCGGCUUGUCAAGUCGGGUGUGAAAACUCCAGGCUCAACCUGGAGACGCCACCCGAUACUGCCAUGGCUUGAGUCCGGUAGGGGACCACGGAAUUCCUGGUGUAGCGGUGAAAUGCGCAGAUAUCAGGAGGAACACCGGUGGCGAAGGCGGUGGUCUGGGCCGGUACUGACGCUGAGGAGCGAAAGCGUGGGGAGCGAACAGG